RNAcentral lists this ribosomal RNA (497 nucleotides) under uncultured bacterium. RNAcentral describes it as "partial 16S ribosomal RNA". It matches the Rfam family "Bacterial small subunit ribosomal RNA", at positions 28 to 507 of the family's 1533-position model. The record is from RNAcentral.
GAUGAACGCUGGCGGCGUGCCUAAUACAUGCAAGUCGAGCGAACAGACGAGGAGCUUGCUCCUUUGACGUUAGCGGCGGACGGGUGAGUAACACGUGGAUAACCUACCUAUAAGACUGGGAUAACUUCGGGAAACCGGAGCUAAUACCGGAUAACAUGUUGAACCGCAUGGUUCAACAGUGAAAGACGGUCUUGCUGUCACUUAUAGAUGGAUCCGCGCCGCAUUAGCUAGUUGGUAAGGUAACGGCUUACCAAGGCAACGAUGCGUAGCCGACCUGAGAGGGUGAUCGGCCACACUGGAACUGAGACACGGUCCAGACUCCUACGGGAGGCAGCAGUAGGGAAUCUUCCGCAAUGGGCGAAAGCCUGACGGAGCAAAGCCGCGUGAGUGAAGAAGGUCUUCGGAUCGUAAAACUCUGUUAUUAGGGAAGAACAAAUGUGUAAGUAACUAUGCACGUCUUGACGGUACCUAAUCAGAAAGCCACGGCUAACUACGUG